GAUGAACGCUGGCGGCGUGCUUAACACAUGCAAGUCGAACGGUGAAGCCAAGCUUGCUUGGUGGAUCAGUGGCGAACGGGUGAGUAACACGUGAGCAACCUGCCCUGGACUCUGGGAUAAGCGCUGGAAACGGCGUCUAAUACUGGAUAUGAGCUCUCAUCGCAUGGUGGGGGUUGGAAAGAUUUUUCGGUCUGGGAUGGGCUCGCGGCCUAUCAGCUUGUUGGUGAGGUAAUGGCUCACCAAGGCGUCGACGGGUAGCCGGCCUGAGAGGGUGACCGGCCACACUGGGACUGAGACACGGCCCAGACUCCUACGGGAGGCAGCAGUGGGGAAUAUUGCACAAUGGGCGGAAGCCUGAUGCAGCAACGCCGCGUGAGGGAUGACGGCCUUCGGGUUGUAAACCUCUUUUAGCAGGGAAGAAGCGAGAGUGACGGUACCUGCAGAAAAAGCGCCGGCUAACUACGUGCCAGCAGCCGCGGUAAUACGUAGGGCGCAAGCGUUAUCCGGAAUUAUUGGGCGUAAAGAGCUCGUAGGCGGUUUGUCGCGUCUGCUGUGAAAUCCCGAGGCUCAACCUCGGGCCUGCAGUGGGUACGGGCAGACUAGAGUGCGGUAGGGGAGAUUGGAAUUCCUGGUGUAGCGGUGGAAUGCGCAGAUAUCAGGAGGAACACCGAUGGCGAAGGCAGAUCUCUGGGCCGUAACUGACGCUGAGGAGCGAAAGGGUGGGGAGCAAACAGGCUUAGAUACCCUGGUAGUCCACCCCGUAAACGUUGGGAACUAGUUGUGGGGACCAUUCCACGGUUUCCGUGACGCAGCUAACGCAUUAAGUUCCCCGCCUGGGGAGUACGGCCGCAAGGCUAAAACUCAAAGGAAUUGACGGGGACCCGCACAAGCGGCGGAGCAUGCGGAUUAAUUCGAUGCAACGCGAAGAACCUUACCAAGGCUUGACAUAUACGAGAACGGGCCAGAAAUGGUCAACUCUUUGGACACUCGUAAACAGGUGGUGCAUGGUUGUCGUCAGCUCGUGUCGUGAGAUGUUGGGUUAAGUCCCGCAACGAGCGCAACCCUCGUUCUAUGUUGCCAGCACGUAAUGGUGGGAACUCAUGGGAUACUGCCGGGGUCAACUCGGAGGAAGGUGGGGAUGACGUCAAAUCAUCAUGCCCCUUAUGUCUUGGGCUUCACGCAUGCUACAAUGGCCGGUACAAAGGGCUGCAAUACCGUGAGGUGGAGCGAAUCCCAAAAAGCCGGUCCCAGUUCGGAUUGAGGUCUGCAACUCGACCUCAUGAAGUCGGAGUCGCUAGUAAUCGCAGAUCAGCAACGCUGCGGUGAAUACGUUCCCGGGUCUUGUACACACCGCCCGUCAAGUCAUGAAAGUCGGUAACACCUGAAGCCGGUGGCCCAACCCUUGUGGAGGGAGCCGUCGAAGGUGGGAUCGGU
Molecule: ribosomal RNA, 1434 nt
Filed under: Microbacterium sp. S15-M3
Lineage: Bacteria; Bacillati; Actinomycetota; Actinomycetes; Micrococcales; Microbacteriaceae
Description: bacterial SSU rRNA
Rfam family: Bacterial small subunit ribosomal RNA
Source: RNAcentral